Caenorhabditis elegans is the source of this 21-nucleotide non-coding RNA. The record is from Ensembl. Lineage: Eukaryota; Metazoa; Nematoda; Chromadorea; Rhabditida; Rhabditidae.
UCCUGCGUUCGCAAGACUUGC